RNAcentral lists this ribosomal RNA (243 nucleotides) under uncultured bacterium. Its description in RNAcentral is "partial 16S ribosomal RNA". It matches the Rfam family "Bacterial small subunit ribosomal RNA", at positions 534 to 776 of the family's 1533-position model. The record is from RNAcentral.
GCAAGCGUUGUCCGGAAUCAUUGGGCGUAAAGAGCUCGUAGGCGGUCUGGCACGUCGGAUGUGAAAACCCGGGGCUCAACCCCGGGCCUGCAGUCGAUACGGGCAGACUAGAGUGCGGUAGGGGAGACUGGAAUUCCUGGUGUAGCGGUGAAAUGCGCAGAUAUCAGGAGGAACACCGGUGGCGAAGGCGGGUCUCUGGGCCGUAACUGACGCUGAGGAGCGAAAGCGUGGGGAGCGAACAGG